Gavialis gangeticus (Gharial) is the source of this 130-nucleotide long non-coding RNA. RefSeq lists it as uncharacterized. NCBI's taxonomy places the organism in Eukaryota, Metazoa, Chordata, Crocodylia, Gavialidae. The transcript has 3 exons. The record is from RefSeq and is a predicted model, not a curated record.
UUUACAUGUGCAAAGUGCUGAACAAGUACAAAGUGCUGCACCUGGGCAAAAAGAACCACCAACAAACUUACUGGAUGGGGGAUGACCUUAUUGGCAGCACAGCAGCAGAAAGGGAUUUUGGAGUCAUAGC